AGUGAACGCUGGCGGCGUGCUUAAUACAUGCAAGUCGAACGAUGAAGUCCUAGCUUGCUAGGAUGGAUUAGUGGCGCACGGGUGAGUAAUAUAUAGUUAAUCUGCCUUGCACUGAGGAACAACAGUUGGAAACGAUUGCUAAUACCUCAUACUCCAACUUUACAUAAGUUAAGUUGGGAAAGUCUUUUCGGUGCAAGAUGAGACUAUAUCGUAUCAGCUAGUUGGUAAGGUAAUGGCUUACCAAGGCUAUGACCCGUAACUGGUCUGAGAGGAUGAUCAGUCACAUUGGAACUGAGACACGGUCCAAACUCCUACGGGAGGCAGCAGUAAGGAAUAUUGUGCAAUGGGGGAAACCCUGACGCAGCAACGCCGCGUGGAGGAGGACACUUUUCGGAGCGUAAACUCCUUUUGUUAGGGAAGAAUAAUGACGGUACCUAACGAAUAAGCACCGGCUAACUCCGUG
Molecule: ribosomal RNA, 463 nt
Filed under: uncultured bacterium
Lineage: Bacteria
Description: partial 16S ribosomal RNA
Rfam family: Bacterial small subunit ribosomal RNA
Source: RNAcentral